GACGAACGCUGGCGGCGUGCUUAACACAUGCAAGUCGAACGGAAAGGCCUGCUUUCCCUUGUGGAUUGCGGGUACUCGAGUGGCGAACGGGUGAGUAACACGUGCGUGAUCUUCCCCCAACUUGUGUAUAAGCCUGGGAAACUGCGUCUAAUUACCGAUAGGACUGCAGGGUGGUGCCGGAAGUGGCAGACGAUUGUCUAGUGGUUGCGGAUGAGCUGGCGGCCUAUCAGUUUGUUGGUGGGGUAAUGGCCUACGAGUACUGCGACGGGUAGCCGGCCUGGGAUGGUGGACCGGCACAUUGGGACUGAGACACGGCGCAGACUCCUACGGGAAGAAGCCGACGGGAAUAAGGCACAAUGGGCGGAAGCCUGAUGCAGCGACGCUGAGUGGGGGAUGACGGGCUUCGGGUGGUAAACUCCUUGCGACCGCGAGGAAGCCACUUUGUUGGAAGGGUGGUGACGGUAGUGGUAGAAGAAGCACCGGCUAACUACGUG
Molecule: ribosomal RNA, 494 nt
Filed under: uncultured bacterium
Lineage: Bacteria
Description: partial 16S ribosomal RNA
Rfam family: Bacterial small subunit ribosomal RNA
Source: RNAcentral